GAUGAACGCUGGCGGCGUGCCUAAUACAUGCCAGUCGAGCGAACAGACGAGGAGCUUGCUCCUCUGACGUUAGCGGCGGACGGGUGAGUAACACGUGGAUAACCUACCUAUAAGACUGGGAUAACUUCGGGAAACCGGAGCUAAUACCGGAUAAUAUAUUGAACCGCAUGGUUCAAUAGUGAAAGACGGUUUUGCUGUCACUUAUAGAUGGAUCCGCGCCGCAUUAGCUAGUUGGUAAGGUAACGGCUUACCAAGGCAACGAUGCGUAGCCGACCUGAGAGGGUGAUCGGCCACACUGGAACUGAGACACGGUCCAGACUCCUACGGGAGGCAGCAGUAGGGAAUCUUCCGCAAUGGGCGAAAGCCUGACGGAGCAACGCCGCGUGAGUGAUGAAGGUCUUCGGAUCGUAAAACUCUGUUAUUAGGAAAGAACAAAUGUGUAAGUAACUAUGCACGUCUUGACGGUACCUAAUCAGAAAGCCACGGCUAACUACGUG
This 497-nucleotide ribosomal RNA is filed under the name uncultured bacterium. RNAcentral describes it as "partial 16S ribosomal RNA". It matches the Rfam family "Bacterial small subunit ribosomal RNA", at positions 28 to 507 of the family's 1533-position model. The record is from RNAcentral.